GUGGAUUAGAUACCCUGGUAGUCCACGCCCUAAACGAUGUCGACUAGUUGUUCGGGAAGGUGACUUCUUGAGUAACGUAGCUAACGCGUGAAGUCGACCGCCUGGGGAGUACGGCCGCAAGGUUAAAACUCAAAGGAAUUGACGGGGACCCGCACAAGCGGUGGAUGAUGUGGAUUAAUUCGAUGCAACGCGAAAAACCUUACCUACCCUUGACAUGCCUGGAAGUCUGCAGAGAUGCGGAUGUGCCUUCGGGAACCAGGACACAGGUGCUGCACGGUCGUCGCCAACU
This 289-nucleotide ribosomal RNA is filed under the name uncultured bacterium. RNAcentral describes it as "partial 16S ribosomal RNA". It matches the Rfam family "Bacterial small subunit ribosomal RNA", at positions 773 to 1060 of the family's 1533-position model. The record is from RNAcentral.